UGGGAUAUUGCACAAUGGGGAAACCCGUGAUGCAGCGACGCCGCGUGGAGGAAGAAGGUUUUCGGAUUGUAAACUCCUGUCGUUAGGGACGAUAAUGACGGUACCUAACAAGAAGCACCGGCUAACUACGUGCCAGCAGCCGCGGUAAACGUAGGGUGCAAGCGUUGUCCGGAAUUACUGGGUGUAAAGGGAGCGCAGGCGGACCGGCAAGUUGGAAGUGAAACCAUGGGCUCAACCCAUGAAUUGCUUUCAAAACUGCUGGCCUUGAGUAGUGCAGAGGUAGGUGGAAUUCCCGGUGUAGCGGUGGAAUGCGUAGAUAUCGGGAGGAACAC
Molecule: ribosomal RNA, 332 nt
Filed under: uncultured Gemmiger sp.
Lineage: Bacteria; Bacillati; Bacillota; Clostridia; Eubacteriales; Oscillospiraceae
Description: bacterial SSU rRNA
Rfam family: Bacterial small subunit ribosomal RNA
Source: RNAcentral